ACUGGUGGGAGCUUGGAAGGAGGGUAGAAGGGAGAAAGAAGCUGAUUUUAUUUCUCCUUCUGUUGAAGUCUCUGGCAGUGGCAGCAGUAGCAGCAGUGGCAGCAGCUGCGGCAAUAGCAGUAGCAGCGGCAGUAGGUGACUGAGUUUCUGCUCAGGUGGAGUUUCAACAGCAGUGGGGGCAGGGAGUGCUCUCGCAGCCUCUGCAGCAGGGCGUUCCUGGGCUCUGGAUCUGGCAGCAUCAGUGUCCGUGACAGGCAGCCCUUGGUGGGAGUUUAAUUUCUCGGCUUCCUGAAAGAUUUCCAAUAACGGCCGUGGAGCAGCAAGUAUCACAGCAGCUUCAGCCACCGAGCAAUCACCGACUCUUUGUGGAUCACACCAUAUUUCCUUUUGUUCAGCCAGCCUUAGGACGGCCCUGAAAGCAGCAGAUCUCACCUGCAUUGGAGGAUGAGACGCCACAUGAAGAAGAAAGAAGACGCCACAGACAGCAGCGCAGUACCACCUUCCAGAGAUGAAACCAGCUGUCAGGCCUCCCAGAUAGUAUCAGAAAGCUGAAGAUUUCCAGAUCGCUGCAUCCUAACAGCAAGGUGCCAGAACCCUGAUUCAACUACCUACUGCCUGUUGAGCAACUCCUACAUAAACUCCUAACUUUAUUGGUUACAGAGACAGAUUUUAGACUUGUCUCCCAUAUCCUGGCUGGCAUCACCAGCAAUAAAGCCUUUCUUCCUGGCAGUACUUGUUGUCUCAGUGAUUGGCUUUCUGUGUGGUGAGCAAUCAGACCUAAGCUGAAUCCCUGGCAUUCACCAACACAUAAAUGUGCAGUUCUGUUUCUGGACUCUCUCUUCUGCUUCAUUGAUCUGUUUUUCUAACUUUAUGCCAAAAUUGCACUAGUUUGAUUACUGUUCCUUUAUAAUAAGCUUUGAAAUAAUGUCAUAUUAGGCCUCCAACUUUGUUCUUCUUUUUGAAAACUGUUUUGGCUAUUUUAGGUCCUUGCAUUUCCAUAAAAGUAUUAGAAUCAGCUUAUCAAUUUCUCCAAAAAAAAAAAAAAAAGCCUACUGAGAUUUUGAUUGGGAUUGCACUGGAUUUAUAGACCAUUUUGGGGAGAACUGACAUCUUAACAAUAUUGAGUCUUCCUCCCAUGAACAAAGUAUAUUUCUUUAUUUGUUUAGGUCUUCUUUAAUUUUUCUCAACGAUGUUGUAUGGUUUUCAGUAUAUAGAUCUUUCAGAGUUUUGUCAGAUUAAUUCUUAAGUAUUUAAUAUUUUUGACCUAAUUGUAAAAGGUAUUAUUUCUUUCCGUUUCAAUUGCCAAUGGGUUAUUGCUAAUAUAUAGAAAUGCAAUUGAUUUUGCCUAUAACUUUGCUAAUAGUUCUAGUAGCUUUUUCAUGUGAAUUCCAUUGGCUAGUCUACAUAGCUCACUGACGCUCUGUUCAUUAAAAGAAUUUUUUCCCUCUGAGUUUCCUUUUAGGUAGCGUCUUUUGCUAUGAUUUCAAUUUCACUUUUUUCCCCUUCUUCAAUAGCUAAUCUGCUACUAAUCCUAUAGUGUUUUUUUCAUCUCAAUAUUGAACUUUCCAUCUGUAGAUGAUUUGAGUCUUUUCUAAAUCUUCCAUGUCUCUAUUUGACCUUUUAAACAUAUAGAAUACAGCUAUAGUAACUGUUUUAAUGUCCUUUUCUGUUUAUUCUACUGUCUGUGUCAGUUCUGGUUUGAUUUCAGUUUAUUGAUUAUUCUCUUCAUUAUGGCUAGUGUUUACCUCCUUCUUUUCAUGAUGAGUAAUUUUUUAUUUGAUGCCAGCCACUAUAAUUUUAUCUUGUUGGGUCUUGGGUUCUUUGCAAUCUUAUAAGUGUUCUUCAGCUUUGUUCUGCAAUACAGUUAAGAUACUUGGCAACACUUGAAUACUUAAAGUCUUGCUUUUAAGAUUUUUUAGGUGGUACUACAGCAGUGCUCAGUUUAGGCAUAAUUAUUCCCCACUACUAAGUUAAGACCCUUCUGUGUACUCUAUUUAUUGCUUCAUGAAUCAUGGUCUUAAAUGUGGCUGGUAAGAAUAGGUACUAUUUCUAGCUGUGUCCGAGUAUCAGACAUUGUUUCUUCUAAUCCACUCAGGUGGUUCUUUUGGCCUUGGGUAAUUUUCUGUCAUGCAUGCACAAAUCAAUACUCAGAAGAAUACUUAAGGAGGUCCCUCUGCAAAACCCUAGAACUCUGUGUGCACAAAUCUCUCCUCUCUGGGAACCUGCUUGUGAGUUCUCACUGCUGUGGUUUUUCCAACCUUCAACUCUGUCUCCCCAACUCAGGGAGGCCUUGGGGCUCCACCAGGGUUCCCUCUCCCUAUAUCUUAGCCUCAAAACUCUUUCACAGUAGUAAAUUUUGGCCACUGUAUGGAUGACAUUAUUUAUGUCUCAUCUCUUAAGUAUCAAAGUAUCAUUAUCCUUAAUUGCCUGGUGUCCAGUACCUUAAAAUUGCUAUUUAAUAUAUUUUGCUUUUUUUUUUUUUUCAGGGAGGAGGGUAAAUCCAAUCCAUCUUGAAUGAGCAUAUGUAUUAGUUUUUAUGCUCCUGAUAAAGACAUAGCUGAGGCUGAGCAAUUUACAAAAGAAAGAGGUUUAAUAGACUUAUAGUUCCUUAUGGCUGGGGAGGCCUCACAAUCAUGGCGGAAGGCAAGAAGGAGCAGGUCACAUCUUACGUGGAUGGCAGUAGGCAAAGAGUUUGUGCAGAGAAACUCACAUUUUAAAACCAUCAGAUCUCCUGAGACCCACGAGAACAGCACAAGAAACAGCACGGGAAAGACGUGCCCCCAUGAUUCAACCAUCUCCCACUGGGUCCCUCCAACAACAUGUGGGAAUUAUGGGAGCUACAAGAUGAGAUUUCGGUGGGGACACAGAGCCAAACCAUAUCAGGGUAGAAUGGUAUUAAAGAAAAAGAUUUUCUUACACUUAUUAAGGCAGUAAGAAAGAUUUAUUCAAGAUUAUUGCAAUAGGUAUCAAGACUGUGCAAUAGGAGACAGGAAAUGGUUGAGCUCAACUCUGAAUACAGCAAAAACCACUGGAGGUUUUUAGCCAGUGAGCAGAAUGGGAGGAGAAGAGUCAGUGGAUGGAAAAUUACUAAGAGGAGAAAUCAAAGGUGGGAGGAUUUUCCCUAAACUGACUUAGCAGGACUCUUGUUACAAUUGGACUAGGCAGGCUGAAGACAGGAUGCAAGGACAAAGCUUGUUGAAAAGAGGCCUCAGAGGAGCUCAUCUAAAAUUUGGUCAAGGGGAGGGUCUUUCUUGGUCCCUCCUCUUGUUCAAGGGAAAAAGAGACAUUCUUCUUUCCUUUGAACAAUAUAAGUCAAUUUCUCAUUUGGUGGCCUUUUUUUCAUUAAGGACAAGCUGAGCCCCCUGCUGAAACUUGGUAGCAGGGCAGCCAGUUGAGAAGAUUUCUAGAUGUCAAGGCAUCUUUAGAUGAUGGGGUGAGGACUGCAGUGGCCAUCCCAGAUCAUGGAUUUUCUGGUUUGCAGUUUGAAUGUCCUUGGUGAUGGCAUAGACAUCAGUGUCACAGUCAUGGUUAUUUUUCCGAGCAGAGUGUAGAAGUGUCCAACUUCAUCUUGAAGGGCUUCUUUAGACAGUCACAAUAAAGAUCUGGGAAGUUAGGUUUUAGUUCUCAGUGAUGCCAAAUCAGGACAGUGGGAGAAAAAUUAAAAACCUCAGUUUGGAGAGUGGUAGCCAGAUAGUAAAGGGAACUAGAAGAACUGAGAAUUUGGUAAGGACUGACAAGCUGUGCAUGAUGACAGGAUCCCGUUCAAUUUACAAGUAGAUAACAAAACCUGAAAGACAAGUACAGGACCAGAAUAAUAACCCAUAAGAAGGUGCUAUAGUUUUUAUAAAAUAUCUUUCUACAGUCAUCCCCCUUUUUUGAUCCAAAUUAACCAAAGUAAGAUUAUUCUUGUUUACAAAAUAAGUCUUGUCUCAUUAUAUUUGACUUACUUAUUUGCAUAAUUGCAGCAAGAAUGGCAACUGACCAGGUAGGCUUAUUUAAGUUUGCAUUGCUGGAACUUUUUACAAGUAAUCUCAGAUUAUGCUUUCAAGAGUUCUUGAAGCUAUAAAGCCAAGUCAAGCACCACCAGGCCUUAUCUGCAAUGCCUAGAGAUUCAGAUGGGUUCUUCUCUUCUUGAGGUCCUAAAAACAUCCUGAGUUUCUUUGGCCUGCCAGAAAGUCACCUUCCUGACUCACCUGUAAGGCUGGGAACUCCAUAAUCCAGUUGGAAAUGCAGAAAUCACCUGUCUUCUGCGUCGAUCAGGCUGGGAGCUGCAGACCGGAGCUGUUCCUAUUCGGCCAUCUUGGAAUGGACCCCCAUGUCUUAUUCUCAAAUAAAACAUUUUGGUCAAAGCCUUGAUUAUCUAAUCAAUUUUUAAAAUUAUGUUCUGUUACAAAAAGGACAGAUUCUUAUCGAACCCAUAUAAAAUAGUAUAUCACCAUUGAUACGGUUUGGAUCUGUGUCCCCACUCAAAUCUGAUGUUCAAUUGUAAUCUCCCAGUGUUAGAGGUGAG
This 4510-nucleotide long non-coding RNA is filed under the name Homo sapiens (human). RNAcentral's name for it is "non-protein coding LINC02363:17". The record is from RNAcentral. Lineage: Eukaryota; Metazoa; Chordata; Mammalia; Primates; Hominidae.